CAUAUAAGUUUACCCCCUGAGUCUGUAAUGACAUGGAAAAGAGAAGGAAUGUUUUUGGGUAGUAUGUCACAUACAACGCCAAAGGUUAUUCACAGAGGUGUACUAGGAAAGGUGGAUUGGUCGGAAGAAAUGUUUGUUUUCUAUUUAGACAAUCCUACCUACAGUGAUAGUGGAAACUAUCAAUGUUGUAUAAUGUUAAGAAAUCAUCACGAGAGAUGUGGUGAUGUUAAGGUAAAUGUAUUCUCUCCCAGAAUGGUAGAAUGCAAAAAUAAGGUUUUUAAGUUAUCAAGUCCC
Non-coding RNA from Pelobates cultripes (western spadefoot toad), 294 nucleotides. NCBI's taxonomy places the organism in Eukaryota, Metazoa, Chordata, Amphibia, Anura, Pelobatidae. The record is from the annotation of a GenBank genome assembly.